CAAACGCGCACACGCACAAUCUGUGUCAGGCUCACAGUGGCUUUUAUCUCAAAGAAAUACAUGUAAUGAAUUAAGAGUAGCAUCUCCACGUGUUUCUCUUGAGAUCUGUGGCCCCACCCCAUGAAACAGUGCUGCCCACAAUUCGGGAGAAGAAGGUGAAGGUACGGGCAUGAAGAGGAAGAGUGUCUCUGAAUGGAUGGCCGAAAUGUCCUGGAAAAUAACCACAAAGCUUCCUGAGACAAAAAAGUAGAAGACUAAGAUUUGAAGAUGACCCCAAAUGGCAAACAUGGUGGACUAUUAUUCUGUGAAUAAAGUUACAUAGCACAGGCCAACCCUGUAGGACUCAGAGAAGACAGAGAAUUGCCCACAUCAGAACCCAGAUCUAGAAAAUAAGCAGAGAACCUUUGCUUCGUUGUCAAGAAUUUAUAAUAUACCCAGAGCUUAAGAAGGAGGCUGGCCAAGGCGAUUCUCUGAUAUCCAGUUCCAUUCUGCGCCUGGAAAAGUAAUCUAAACAGACAGCAUCACUUGCCUGUCUUUGUCAACUGAUCCUGGAAACCCUGGCAGGAGGCAGAAGAGUGAGAAGAUAGAGUGAUUGGGUCCUUUUCCCAACAUGCCUGCUUUGACCCAGCAUUUGCAGCAGCACCUGUGUCCUUCCUUGACUAUGGAUUUGGUCUAGCCAUUUUUUUCUUUCUUUCUUUUGCUGUUGUUGUUAUUUGGAUCAGGUGGAAUUAAGGAGCUGUCAUCCUGCAUGUGACAGAAGAUCCUAGGUCCCCAUGUCUUGAAUGUUUCAGUCCUGUCUCAUGAAGUUUCUGUCUCCUGCUCUAUGAGUGACGAAAUGGAGAGGUACAUCUUGUACAGAUAUUUGCCCUCUGGAAAGAAGUGACUGUAUAAGCCCCACAACAAAAAAGACUGGUGACCACACAUUUGGGACAGUCAGAAUAGACCUGCGUGAGGUUUGCUAAUUGAGAGAGGAGAGGAACACAAUUCAUUUCUGACUCGGUUAUCAAACUGUUCUUGUAAGUGACACGACUGAAACCACCUCUUGGCUUUGCAAACUGCUGAGUCCGGACUUCUGCAUCUCUGAAAGCUCAGCGAAUGGAUCUUCUCAGCAAAGAUUCAGAGGCUCUUUGGAUCGGAUUUGAAAGCCUUUCCCCUGAGGACUAGCAUUCAAAGAACUGUAAGGUACUACGCAAGUUUCCAAGAAAGGGAGGCAACCAAUGGUCAUACCCAGCUGUGAUGUCUAUGAUCCAUAACAGCCCCAGCAUGACAAGGCUUGGAUUCCUUACUUUCUGGAUCAAUUACAAUGCUCUGAGCAGCAGGGCUCGAAGGGCUCCAGUUUGCUGUUUGGAGAGCUAUAAAUUCUCAAAACCAAGUCAGGACAAUGCCACCCCUCAAACCCUCAACCGCGCUUUGCUGGCAGAACAGUGAACCAAGCUGGCUCUGCCCAAAAUUUCCUCCAUAUCUGCUUCACACGUUAAGGGAGGGUAUGGCUUUUCCUUGCCCUCUCACUGGACUUUUCAAGCUAGAAGUAAAUAUUAGACUCUUUAAAAGGACAAGUUAAGUGAAGUGGCGUCUAGUUGUUUGCGCAUCCAUCCAGCAGGUAGCGUAUUUGCUGCGCCAGUGUGUACCAAACUGAUUUCAAGCUGAAACGCCUCAGGAACAAAGCAGCUGAUGACCCAUCCUCAAAAGGUUCAUGGCCUGGCUGGCUGGAAAUAAAACUUUGGAAUUUCA
This is a long non-coding RNA of Mus musculus (house mouse), 1731 nucleotides long. RefSeq annotates it as predicted gene, 34649. NCBI's taxonomy places the organism in Eukaryota, Metazoa, Chordata, Mammalia, Rodentia, Muridae. The transcript is spliced from 11 exons. The record is from RefSeq and is a predicted model, not a curated record.